UUGGUAAAUCUCGUGCCAGCCACCGCGGUUAUACGAGAGACCCUAGUUGAUAGGUUCGGCGUAAAGGGUGGUUUAGGAUACUAAUAAAUUAAAGCCAAAGCCCUUUUAAGCUGUCACACGCGAUCCAAAGGCACGAAGCCCAAACACGAAAGUAGCUUUAUUAAUAGCCUGACCCCACGAAAACUGAGAAACAAACUAGGAUUAGAUACCCCAC
RNAcentral lists this ribosomal RNA (214 nucleotides) under Copella nigrofasciata. Its description in RNAcentral is "partial small subunit ribosomal RNA". Lineage: Eukaryota; Metazoa; Chordata; Actinopteri; Characiformes; Lebiasinidae. The record is from RNAcentral.